CCCCAUGGGGCUCCCAUCCGGCCCCACAGAGGCAGCCCUGGGUGGGGGGCUCAGCCCAUCUCCCAUCCUCUCUGCAGUACAUGGUGGGGGGGUCCCCGCUCCCCGCCGGCACGGCCCCCUCCACGCAUCUCCCCAUCACAGCCGCCACCAAUUCCUUCGGGACGGUCGCGGGAAACUCCGCCAACCUCGCCACGACGGACGGACACCUCUGGAAGUACAGACGGACCGACAGCAGAGCCAUACAAGCUCCCAGGUCCUGGAAGGCUAAAUAAAAACCUUUGCGGCCCAAAGGUCCUAAACGUAAAAUUUUUCUGUUCACUUUUCCCGAGGGUCGACCGCCCGCCCCGCUGGGCCGGGAGAGAUGCUCGGCCGCCACCGUGUCCACCUUGACGUAGGGGUUCUCCAUCCACGGGGGCGCCGACGCCGUCGCCGUGUCGGCGUCCGAUUCGUGAUAGAAAACGUUGAAAGUUUCUUUGCAGGGCCGGGGGGGGGCGGGGAGGGGGCUGCGGCGGGGGCGGGAGGCGUUGCUAUGGGCGCCGUUGCUAUGGGAACGGAGGCUUUGGGGGAUGUCGGGGGGGCUGCUGUUGUGGUCGCAGCAUCCCUUGGGUCCGUUGCUAGGGCCGUUGCUAAGGGCAUCCGUGUUCCUGAGCCUGUUGCUAGGGCCGUUGCUAUGGACAUGGAUGCUCCUGGAGCCGUUGCUAGGGCCGUUGCUAUGGACAUCCGUGUUCCUGAGCCCGUUGCUAGGGCCGUUGCUAUGGACAUGGAUGCUCCUGGAGCCGUUGCUAGGGCCGUUGCUAUGGACAUUGGUGUUCCUGAGCCCGUUGCUAUGGUCACAGCAUCCCUUGGGUCCGUUGCUAGGGCCGUCGCUAUGGACACUGACGCUCCCGGACCCGUUGCUACGGCCAUCCGUGUUCCUGAACCCGUUGCUAUGGCCGUUGCUACGGACGCUGCGGCUCCGCCUGUUGCUCGGGCCGUUGCCAUGGGAACCCCACGGUCCAUCAGCGGGGCCGUUGCCAUGGACGCCGCUCGAUCCAUCACCGACGCCGUCGCCGCGGGGACCCCCCGGCCGAUCUCCGGGCCCGUCGCCAUGGAAACCGCGCCCCCCCCCAUCCGGACGGAUGCGCCGAAGGGCCGCUGGCCGGUUGUUGUUGCCACGGUAACGGGCGAUCAGACUGUCGCACUCCACCACGGUGUACCGCAGCUCGGCGUAGACGUGGGUGGCGCCGCGCCGUGGGACCCAAGUGGAGCGCAGCCAGCUGUUCUGGGGGGGGCCGGGGGGGCGCAGACCCGAACAAACCUCGAACGUCCGAACCGCCGUCUGCCGCUCCUCGUCCAGACCGCUCAGCUCCUCCCACUGGGGGGGGGGAA
Molecule: long non-coding RNA, 1368 nt
Filed under: Phasianus colchicus (ring-necked pheasant)
Lineage: Eukaryota; Metazoa; Chordata; Aves; Galliformes; Phasianidae
Description: lncRNA (ENSPCLG00000017317.1)
Source: RNAcentral